AUACGUAGGUGACAAGCGUUAUCCGGAUUUACUGGGCGUAAAGGGCGUGUAGGCGGUCUUGCAAGUCAGAAGUGAAAUUCCUGAGCUCAACUCGGGCGCUGCUUCUGAAACUGCAGGACUUGAGUGCUGGAGGGGAUAGCGGAAUUCCUAGUGGAGCGGUAAAAUGCGCAGAUAUUAGGAAGAACACCGGUGGCGAAGGCGGGUAUAUGGACAAUAACUGAAGCUGAGGCGCGAAAGCGUGGGGAGCAAACAGGAUUAGAUGACCGAGUAGUCCACGCCGUAAACGAUGAAUACUAGGUGUAGGGGGUAUCGACUCCCUCUGUGCCGCAGUUAACACAAUAAGUAUUCCGCCUGGGGAGUACGGCCGCAAGGUUGAAACUCAAAGGAAUUGACGGGG
This 397-nucleotide ribosomal RNA is filed under the name uncultured bacterium. RNAcentral describes it as "partial 16S ribosomal RNA". It matches the Rfam family "Bacterial small subunit ribosomal RNA", at positions 523 to 918 of the family's 1533-position model. The record is from RNAcentral.